AUGAACUGGUGCAAUUUCAUAGUUGGUUUCCUUCACACUUCACUAUCCAAUAAGAUGUACAACAAAGGAUGCCGACUGCAUCUGAUGCUCAUGUAUGUCGAUAAACUUGACAUCAGCACUGUCAACCUUAACCCGUUUGGCGGUCUGCCUCCAUCACACAAGUUUGCUGCAUGGGCUUGGACUGAUGCUGCAAUCAAGGUUGUUCUCUCUGCGGACAGGAAGCCCGAUGGGACGUUUGGCAAGCUACAGCUUAUGGGAGAACAGAACGUUGAUUACAACUUAUUUGGGGGACCCGCCAACUUCAACAAAUGGAUGGAUGGUCACACAAACGAUUCAUGCCCUUCAACUGCGCGAAGUAACAUUGAGAAUCUUGUUGGACAGUUUGCGUCCGGUAUGACCAACAUUCUUGGGAACGUUGUACGGGGUUGGACUGCUAUGUCGGCUGGCGACGGAGAUGAAGUUGCAAACCAGUUCCGUUCUUUUGUUUGCGGUGGCACUUCUCAUCCAACUGGAUCUAGGGGCAGAUACGACCACAACGAUUCGCAAGAGAUACCCCCCAGCGAUGAAGAUUUAUCAAUUGAUGACAGUGACUAUGACGAUGAUGACCAGCAAGAUGACACAUGUAACGAUGGCAAUAACAGAAUGGACGACACUGAGCAUGACACGUUGCAUGAGGAUAGUCAUGGAGGUGCCGAAACAUCCACUGGACAGGGAUAG
RNAcentral lists this ribosomal RNA (717 nucleotides) under Triticum aestivum (bread wheat). Its description in RNAcentral is "partial small subunit ribosomal RNA". Lineage: Eukaryota; Viridiplantae; Streptophyta; Magnoliopsida; Poales; Poaceae. The record is from RNAcentral.